Molecule: ribosomal RNA, 1101 nt
Filed under: Escherichia coli
Lineage: Bacteria; Pseudomonadati; Pseudomonadota; Gammaproteobacteria; Enterobacterales; Enterobacteriaceae
Description: partial 23S ribosomal RNA
Rfam family: Bacterial large subunit ribosomal RNA
Source: RNAcentral
GGUUAAGCGACUAAGCGUACACGGUGGAUGCCCUGGCAGUCAGAGGCGAUGAAGGACGUGCUAAUCUGCGAUAAGCGUCGGUGAGGUGAUAUGAACCGUUAUAACCGGCGAUUUCCGAAUGGGGAAACCCAGUGUGUUUCGACACACUAUCAUUAACUGAAUCCAUAGGUUAAUGAGGCGAACCGGGGGAACUGAAACAUCUAAGUACCCCGAGGAAAAGAAAUCAACCGAGAUUCCCCCAGUAGCGGCGAGCGAACGGGGAGGAGCCCAGAGCCUGAAUCAGUGUGUGUGUUAGUGGAAGCGUCUGGAAAGGCGCGCGAUACAGGGUGACAGCCCCGUACACAAAAAUGCACAUAUUGUGAGCUCGAUGAGUAGGGCGGGACACGUGGUAUCCUGUCUGAAUAUGGGGGGACCAUCCUCCAAGGCUAAAUACUCCUGACUGACCGAUAGUGAACCAGUACCGUGAGGGAAAGGCGAAAAGAACCCCGGCGAGGGGAGUGAAAAAGAACCUGAAACCGUGUACGUACAAGCAGUGGGAGCCUCUUAAUGGGGUGACUGCGUACCUUUUGUAUAAUGGGUCAGCGACUUAUAUUCUGUAGCAAGGUUAACCGAAUAGGGGAGCCGAAGGGAAACCGAGUCUUAACUGGGCGUUAAGUUGCAGGGUAUAGACCCGAAACCCGGUGAUCUAGCCAUGGGCAGGUUGAAGGUUGGGUAACACUAACUGGAGGACCGAACCGACUAAUGUUGAAAAAUUAGCGGAUGACUUGUGGCUGGGGGUGAAAGGCCAAUCAAACCGGGAGAUAGCUGGUUCUCCCCGAAAGCUAUUUAGGUAGCGCCUCGUGAAUUCAUCUCCGGGGGUAGAGCACUGUUUCGGCAAGGGGGUCAUCCCGACUUACCAACCCGAUGCAAACUGCGAAUACCGGAGAAUGUUAUCACGGGAGACACACGGCGGGUGCUAACGUCCGUCGUGAAGAGGGAAACAACCCAGACCGCCAGCUAAGGUCCCAAAGUCAUGGUUAAGUGGGAAACGAUGUGGGAAGGCCCAGACAGCCAGGAUGUUGGCUUAGAAGCAGCCAUCAUUUAAAGAAAGCGUAAUAGCUC